Long non-coding RNA from Drosophila sulfurigaster albostrigata, 988 nucleotides. RefSeq lists it as uncharacterized. The transcript is spliced from 3 exons. The record is from RefSeq and is a predicted model, not a curated record. NCBI's taxonomy places the organism in Eukaryota, Metazoa, Arthropoda, Insecta, Diptera, Drosophilidae.
UUAUUUAGCAAUGAGUCUGAAAGCUCCACAAAUAGCGCCAUCUAUUGGUGGACCACGAUACUUACAAGCGUGAGCUAGUAGAUCAGCUGAUCGUGUUAUGUCCACACCAAAAUAGACAACGAUUACCUUUUUGAGUAGGAUUAUUUGUCAAAAUUCCGAAAAAAGGUUUUUGUUGUUGGUUUUGUUGGCAAGAAAAUGGUUGGCAGGUUAUGUGCCGAACCUGAAAAAAUGUGUAAAAGUGCAUGUGACUAAAACCAAAAAAAAAAUAGAUCUCAGUGAAGUGGUUGGCGAAGUCCGUUGCAUAUAUCGUAUUUUUCACCUAUGCCGUCCACUUAACCCACACAAUAGAUGGUUGUCCACUUCCACGUCCUCCCAUACCAAGUGCCGUUUUCCAGAUUAGGAUUCGGCACUUAGUCAUAUUGUAUAUAAAACUCGGUAUUAAACUGAAUCUAAUGACUCGGGCAUAAAUUAUAAUAACCCAGUCACCAUUAAUAUAAACGCCGUAAUAAUUCAUAUGAACGCCUUCUUAAGUUAUAUAAAACGCCGUAAUAACUUAUAAUAAACCAACAUCCAAAUUUGAAUGUGGUCGAAUUUUAAAUUCGUUAUACUGCAAAUUCACCACACACCAAGGAGCGAUUAACGGCCAUCCACCCAAAGCUCGCGUCACAGCUUUGCUGGCCACAUCAGCUGUUGGUACGCCACGAGCAGAUGAUCAGCUGUUGGUUGCAGACUCUCAUUGAGCAAAACCAAGCGGACUGAGUUUCGGAUGAAGGAAAACAUCUGCGGCCUACGGCUUUGCAAUCUCCAUCUACGGAUUGCGAUGUUCUGUGGUGUCCUCAAGGCGAAUAUCAGCGUCACCCAGUAGGAAGGCGAACAGCUGAAUAGCAGCUAAUGUUUUUUUUUGUUUUUGGUUGUAUUAUUGUUAGCUUAUUUUUCUUGUUAUCUUAUUGUUCGCUGUAUUAUUGUUAGUUUAGAAUGUUUAGUGUGC